AGCAGGUGCUUCCCGCGCUCACACUGCGAGUCCACUGGGCCAGAAGACGGUGCAAGGAUGAGGUCUUGAGAGCCGACGUUAUCUCUGAGGCAAGUGCGAGAAUACUGAAAAAAGCAGAACUCAGAGGAACACAGGAAGCACCACCGCUCAGGUGAGACUCCAUGGCAACCCUGCACAGCACUAGGAUACGCUCCUGUGUCAGUCCUUGGGAAGAGUUCUGCUUUGAGACAAGUGCCUCCACAAGGCAGGGCUCCUGUAUGUGUAUGUUAAGUCUGAGUAUCAAGAGGACCCAGAUGGUGACACUGUUCAACAUAAGGUCUGAGGUAAGUGGUUCUUAAAAUACCUGGAUCACAGAAAUGUAUCCAGUAAUUGGAGCUGGAAAAAAAGGAAGAGUGUAAAGGAGCUGGGGCUAGAAAAGACACAUAGGAAAAAGCUUACAGCAGUUGCUUUUGGGGGAAGUGGGUGACAAAAACAAAGGCACAACAGAAUUACAUUCCAAGACAAGUGGCUGGAGAGCAAGAAAUGUUCUUUUAUGGGGAACAGAAAAAAGAACAAUGGGUUGAUUACUAGAGUACUAGAUCCAAGACUAAGUUGAUUCCCGUAGUGCUCCAAGAACUAAGUUUAUUACCAUUAUGAAAGUGCUGAAAUAUAAAACUACAUUCCCAAACAGAAUGAACAGAAAGCACAGCUGUUUUAAAAUAACAUAAAAUAAUCUCAUAGCAAAACUAUAUCCAGUGUCCCUUUGGAAGCCACAGCCUUAAGCCAGCAGGCAGGAUGUCCAGGACAGGCCUUCACCUUAGACUCUGAGAGUACUAUAGUUUAGCUUAAUUAUUCACUUCCCCUCCCUCCUUAGAAGUUCCCCCCUAAUAACCAUCUACCUGAAAACAAAAAGGCUAAAGUGAAGACUGCCUCCCACACAAUGGCAGUGACAAUGACCUUUGUGGGAACCUCUGUGGACAUGUGAAGGGUUUCCUGUUACUGGGCAGCAAGCCAGCCCAACUGUGCUCAUAUUCAAACUGGAGAUGACCACAGGAGAAACAUGUGCCUGGCAGUUCUCUAAUUAACUGGACCAUUGUGUCCACAUGGCCCUCUCUGCUGUUUCUGAAGAAUUACUCAACUGGAAAAUCUGGUCCUAGGGUUCAAUUUGGUCGAACUCAAAACACCAGAUCCUCAUUUCAAAGAUUUUAUAAUGUAAAUCAUAUUUCUUCCAGUCCUAUCCUACCCCAAUCUGCACCCCACACAGUAUAUUCUCCUCAAACACCCUUAUGCACUUAUAUUCUGUGAUAGGUGCUUACAAGUGAAUUGUUAAUCUCAGAACCCUUAGUUGAAAAGCACUAAGGUCAAACACACUGUAGAUCCACUCCCUCUCCCAACCCUUUUCUUUCCAAUCCAAAAAGAGUCAAAUCGAAGCAUGGCUCUCUAUACUGCCCCAAGUGGAGUCUGGGCCAAAGGAGACCUAGAUACUGACUGCAGGCUGCCAGUGUAUACAAGAGUCUAUGUGAGCGCUAAUAGUUCCACACCACUCAUGCUCCAGUGUACAGUUAUCCUGAAAGGUAAACCUCAUCAGCUCUGAUUACAAAAGCAUUCUUAUUCAAACUCACUAGGCUUUAUAAAAAUAAUCUGUGGUAUAAAACAAUCUCCACACUGUGUAGAAGAAAUCUGUCAGGUGAUAUAACUAAAUAUAUAUAUAUAUAUAUAUGUAUGUAUGUAGAGCUAUAGAUUUUUUUUAAAGUAAAAUUUCAAGUGUUGUAUCUCUAUUAUAUAACCUAUUCUUUUAUUUACAAGGCUAUCUAACAAUAUCAAUGCGAACAUAACUAGGAAAGUCAGAGAAUGGGCCCAUACCCAACAAAGAGUGCAAGUUUCCAAGAUUCAAGACACAAUUUACUCAUUCACAAAAACCCAUCCUCAUUGGCCUGAAAAACUAAUAGAUCACAUUUUUCUUAACUGUUGAGCUCAAAAACCUAAAUUCUGCAAAUGAAUGUAAGACUUUUCUGUGAGUAUCCAAUACAUACUACAUACACCCAUAUGGCCUUGUAUGUAUUUCUUUAGUGCCCCUGGAUGGCUUACAAUAGUUCCUAGAACUGCCUAAGCCCAAAACCAGUGUGUGUGAAUCUAUGGCAUGAUGUCACCGUGGGCUAUUUGUCAUCAUUGAAAGCUCCAAAAGGUCCACCAUCACCCACCUAGACAAUACAACACUGCCCCAGAGGGAAAAAGGUCAGUGUAGAGCCUACUACCAUAAUCCAGGUAUUUGAAGAAUAUGCAUGUUAAUUCUUCAGCAGAAACUACUUAUUAUGUCUAUGCGUUGCCACAGGAAUUAAUGAAGCCAUCACUGGUUUUGGUACUACAGGGAUACAGGGAAUAUCACAUUCAUUCAUACUUGGAAGAUACUGUCAUGAAAAUGUUAAACCCCAGGACAAACUUAAAUGGUGAUAAAUUCUUUAAAUGCAAAUUUUCACCCAAGGUUGGGUAUGACUGGUACAUUCCUGUAAUCCCAGCACUUUGAAAGGCUGAGACAGGAAAAUCUCAAAUUUGACCUUGCUCGAACAAUUUAGCCACUGAAGUGAAACCCUGCCUCAAAUUAAAAAAUUUUAAAAAGAGCUGGGGUUGAAGCUCAGUAUUGAGGUCUUGGGUUUAAUUCCCAGUACUUGGUGGUGGUUGUUUAGGAGGUAGGAGAGACCUCCUUCAUCCAAACCAAAAUUUACAAUGAACCCCAAGAGAGUAUAAAAUAGGAACAUUCAAAAUAUCCCUUUAAAUAAUUUUGACUUUCACAUGUUGCUAGUUUGAUGGGAUUCUUCUUUUUCUAAUUCUCCUUUUGAGACAAGAUCUUGCUAAGUAGUUCAGGCUGGCCUUGAACUCACUAUGUAGCCCAUCCUGAUCCUGAAUUUGAAGUGAGCCUUUUGCCUCAGCCUCCUGAGUGCUGGGAUUAUAGAAAUGUGUCACCCACAUGGCUCAAUGGGCCUUUUGAAUUCAUUUAUUUUUUUUUUAAAUGUAGUUAAGUGAAUUUCCAAAGGAGUGUUUGAACUUUUUUUUCCUACAAAACUAAAUCAUUAUCUCAAAAAAAUGUCCAAAUGUUCUAAAAGCCUGGGAUACAUUCAGAGGUAGACGGCUAGUUACAAAUCAACCACCCAAAUCUUACCUAAAGAACCAUGUGCAUAACCCUGAAUGCAUUAAAUGUUUAAAUUCUCGACUGAGAAGAUACACAAUUCAUCCAGUGAAGUAGUAGGCCUUGAGUCCAGGUGUGGUGAUGCGCACCUGUAAUCCCAACCCUGGGGAGGUUGAAAAUAGGAGGAUUGCUACAAGUCUGAUCUGCAUAGUGAGACUCUGUACCAGAUACAUGAAGUAGGGGGCCUUUUGUCUAAAAGGCAAUGUUGACCAAGACUUAAAAACUCACUCCUCCUGAAUAUGUUAGCUGUUGAGCAUUUUAUUAGUUUAGUUUUUCUCACAGCUACUGACCAAGGAAAUUGCACUUUAGCAAACUGAGAGAAGGAGGAAGGGACACCCUGCCCCUCUUUUUGUGACUGCUGCUUCAGGAAGACCACAGUAGAUGAGGAGAUAUGGGCUGCAUCCUGGAAAGGUAUGGUCCUAAUGCCCAGAGAUGCAGCCAGGCCUGGCCCUCUCUCCAAAGGUGUGCCUUUGAAAUCCAACAGCCUGAGACACCUGAGACUGAAGAUCAAACUGAAGUAACUCUUGGAAACUGCUUUCCAAUUUAGGUAUUUUGCUGGCAAGCCAAGUUUUUUACAAUAAUGACUGGUUUUUUUACUAGUCAUUUAGGGGAGAGAAAACCAAACAGCAAAUUCUUUUAUUACCAAUAAGUGCUUGGGAAUUUUACACUACAUACUUUAAAAACACACAGUUCUGUUGUGAGCUAGCCGUCUGAUCUUCCCACUCUGGAUGGGACAGUCACUUCCCUGCCUUCAUGCCUCCAGCACUGAGGCCACAUGACAGACCUUCUCAGCCAGAGCACAUAGACAUUCCAUACAUAGCUGGUCUUGCCAAGAGAAAAACCACACACACAGCCUGGGCCCCAGGACAGAAUAUCUGAGGAUAAGAACAUGGCCAAAUGAAGAAGGUCACAGAGCAAAACUACAAGAGCAUGCCCUGCACUGCCUAAAUCAUCAAGCCCCAUGAGUGCUGGCCUAGCCCCUUGUGGCAAGCUUCACAGCCUGCAGAUGAGAGCCUUCCUUUUGCUGAGCAUGUGAGGAUGAGGCCCUCAUCUCCUACAGAUGUUCAGGACUAGCUGAUGUCCUUCUCUAUCUGCACUAACAUCCCAAGUACAAACAGAAUGAACUCAGAGUUAAAAAGCAACUGGCACCAUGCUGCCUUGCAGCUAGGCAUCCUUCUCCCCUGAACAUUCCAUCUGCACCACUUGCUUCCUCAUGCUGCAGACCAACGGGCCCAGAAAAACAGCUCAUAUCAUGCUCCCAGGAUGCUCCAAUAACUAUGACCAUGGACUUCACUGCCCACCCAUUCCUCAAGGUCAUCUGCAGGACCCUCAUUUUUAACCUGUGUUUUAUUGCCCUGGCUUAUCCCUGGAUUUCUCUAGCUAGGUGUGACUUCACACUGUUAUCACAAGUGCUUCCAACUAGAACAGUCUCUGCAAAGGGCCUGCUUAGCUAGACAACAACACAAUAGAAAGGAAGGAGCAAGGAUCCUUGGUCAUGCCUCUCUCACCAUGAACAUGACAACCCCUCCCAUGGGCAGGGACAGGACCUACUGCCACUUAUCUUCCACAGAACUUGGGGCAAUAAAAAAAGUUUUCUGAACCUCCAAAAUGGAUACUGUGUGAAAUAUGGAGAAGAGCACAGGCAGAGGCCCUGUGACUCAAGCACCAUCAUCAUCAUCAUCAAUGCCAACUAGGGUUCCCUUCAGAUAGCAUGUGAUAGUGAACAGACACUUUGGGCAUAGGGGUCCCAAGAGCCAUGCCCUAGAAGGAAAUCACCCACAUUCUAAUCAUUAGUAACCGUGUAUACAUCGGAGGGGCACAUUUUACACAACAACAUAAGGAAGAGACAGGGUAAAGCCCCAGAAACGGAGAUGGACCUUCAAUCUUUCCUAUUACCCAGCCCACCAAAUGGUACAACACUUGACACUUCACUCUGAUGGCAAGGCUCCACAGGGGCACCUCAGUAUCUAGGCACAGGGUCAGCAAAGAGGGAAGCCACUCAGAGAAAAGGGAUCAGGCUGGCCUGCUGUACUGUGGCCUCACUAGAAGGUCCCAUGUCAUGACUACCACUCAACACUCCCUCAUCCAGGCCAUUCACUUCUAUGAAGCCAACCAGCAGAGAUAAGAAAAACUACCCAGAGAAACCUAAAAUCAAAGAGAAAGCUGGGGUUUAGUGUUUGGCACUAUAUAGGAUUGGUGAUCUAUUAUUCCUGUAGUGAAUUACCUAAUUUUAUUUGUUCUGAGGGAGAAAAGUACACAUACCCCCACUGCCUGAGAGGAAAGCUAAAGAAAGUAGAAUAUGGCACUUUUUAAUAAAUACUUUAAAGCUUCUUAAAGAAAUAAGUGGAAAAGAAAAGCAACUGCUGUAAGGCCUGUUUCGUAGUUUAAAAUUAUUCUGAGGGAAAAGACAAUAUAGCUUACAAAAAUAAAAACAAAACACCUGUCCCUAUAACCAUCUGCCAGACCACAUUUUGACCCAAAAUGCAAAUACCAAGCUCUGAGGGGAGGAAACUAGCCUCCUCCAGCACACCCUGUGCCCUGACCCCCAGAGCAAUAGUCACCCCACAGUAAGCCAAGAUACCACACACAGCACACUGAGCAGAAGCAGUCACCUCCAUGUACACAGUGCGCCUCACUUUGCUGACCCCAUGGACCCCCACGAGCCCCUGGGCUGGCAAAGAACAAGCCUCUCCACGCAGAUGUGCUCCUCUAGAACCAUCUUACAGUUACACCUUGCAGGCAGAUGCUGCCCAUCUCCUCAUAGACACCACCACUAAGCUACUGAAAGAAUUAAACUUCAAGUAAAAUUAGCUCAUGUGGGCCUAAUGGCCAUUUCCACCAAGCUCAGGUGUUGUCAUUCUGAAUACUGACCCAUCAAGUCACAGGGAACAUCUGCACCCCACUCAGCCCUAAAGGAGGUCUCCUUAGUUCACCCAGGUCAAGCUCUCCCCUCACCCACCAACUCGCCUACCAUAAAGAUUCAAGAGAUGUGAU
Octodon degus (degu) is the source of this 6157-nucleotide long non-coding RNA. RefSeq lists it as uncharacterized. The transcript has 2 exons. The record is from RefSeq and is a predicted model, not a curated record. NCBI's taxonomy places the organism in Eukaryota, Metazoa, Chordata, Mammalia, Rodentia, Octodontidae.